RNAcentral lists this ribosomal RNA (288 nucleotides) under uncultured bacterium. RNAcentral's name for it is "partial 16S ribosomal RNA". It matches the Rfam family "Bacterial small subunit ribosomal RNA", at positions 335 to 636 of the family's 1533-position model. The record is from RNAcentral.
CUAGCCUACGGGAGGCAGCAGUGGGGAAUAUUGCACAAUGGGCGAAAGCCUGAUGCAGCAGCGCCGCGUGAAGGAAGAAGGGUUUCGGCUCGUAAACUUCUAUUAACAGGGACGAAAGAAAUGACGGUACCUGAAUAAGAAGCCCCGGCUAACUACGUGCCAGCAGCAGCGGUAAUACGUAGGGGGCAAGCGUUAUCCGGAAUUACUGGGUGUAAAGGGUGAGUAGGCGGCAGGGUAAGCCAGAUUUGAAAUCCUUGGGCUUAACCCCAGGAGUGCAUUUGGAAAUAU